GUGGCCCUACGGGGCUCAGCAGUGAUGCCUAUUGGUCAAUGGUCGCGAGCCUGAACCAGCCACGUAGCGUGAAGGAUGACUGCCCUACGGGUUGUAAACUUCUUUUAUAAAGGAAUAAAGUGAGGCACGUGUGCCUUUUUGUAUGUACUUUAUGAAUAAGGAUCGGCUAACUCCGUGCCAGCAGCCGCGGUAAUACGGAGGAUCCGAGCGUUAUCCGGAUUUAUUGGGUUUAAAGGGAGCGUAGAUGGGUUGUUAAGUCAGUUGUGAAAGUUUGCGGCUCAACCGUAAAAUUGCAAUUGAUACUG
Molecule: ribosomal RNA, 305 nt
Filed under: uncultured bacterium
Lineage: Bacteria
Description: bacterial SSU rRNA
Rfam family: Bacterial small subunit ribosomal RNA
Source: RNAcentral